GCGGUACUUCGACGCAGGUGAGGGUGCGAAAGCCGUUUGAACCGUAACGAAUCUCUGGGGUGCUGCGGAUAGACAACCCGUGUGCACGGCCUGUCCCGCUGGCGGGUCUCGUCCCUAAAGGGGGGGUGGCCCGCGAGUGGGGCAGGAAAGCCUAACGGUUGGCUCGUGGCGCCCACCUCUUUCAGAGGUUCACGGCCUAGCUCCCCACGGCGAAGCAGUCCGCU
RNAcentral lists this non-coding RNA (224 nucleotides) under Acidobacteriota bacterium. Its description in RNAcentral is "Acidobacteria bacterium 6S RNA". It matches the Rfam family "6S / SsrS RNA". From Rfam's summary of the family: E. coli 6S RNA was the first non coding RNA to be sequenced, but its function was unknown until recently. It consists of 184 nucleotides that fold into an extended hairpin structure with a large single-stranded internal bulge. The 6S RNA specifically associates with RNA polymerase holoenzyme containing the sigma70 specificity factor. Lineage: Bacteria; Pseudomonadati; Acidobacteriota. The record is from RNAcentral.